UGAGGAAUAUUGCUCAAUGGCCGCAAGGCUGAAGCAGCAACGCCGCGUGAGGGAUGAAGGAUCUAUGGUCUGUAAACCUCUGUAGAGAAGGAAAAAUAACCCAUUAUAUGGGCUUGAUAGUACUUCUAGAGUAAGCCCCGGCUAACUACGUGCCAGCAGCCGCGGUAAUACGUAGGGGGCGAGCGUUGUCCGGAAUCACUGGGUGUAAAGGGUGCGCAGGCGGGUCGAUAAGUCAGAGGUGAAAUUUCACAGCUUAACUGUGAAUGUGCUUUUGAUACUGGCGGUCUAGAGUUCAGAAGAGGGCAAUGGAAUUCUUGGUGUAGCGGUGAAAUGCGUAGAUAUCAAGAAGAACACCAGUUGCGAAGGCGGUUGCCUGGUCUGUAACUGACGCUCAAGCGCGAAAGCGUGGGGAUCAAACA
RNAcentral lists this ribosomal RNA (419 nucleotides) under uncultured prokaryote. Its description in RNAcentral is "bacterial SSU rRNA". It matches the Rfam family "Bacterial small subunit ribosomal RNA", at positions 355 to 774 of the family's 1533-position model. The record is from RNAcentral.